This 443-nucleotide ribosomal RNA is filed under the name uncultured bacterium. RNAcentral's name for it is "partial 16S ribosomal RNA". It matches the Rfam family "Bacterial small subunit ribosomal RNA", at positions 338 to 795 of the family's 1533-position model. The record is from RNAcentral.
CCUACGGGAGGCUGCAGUGGGGAAUAUUGGGCAAUGGGCGCAAGCCUGACCCAGCAACGCCGCGUGAAGGAAGAAGGCUUUCGGGUUGUACACUUCUUUUCUCAGGGACGAAGAAAGUGACGGUACCUGAGGAAUAAGCCACGGCUAACUACGUGCCAGCAGCCGCGGUAAGACGUAGGUGGCAAGCGUUAUCCGGAUUUACUGGGUGUAAAGGGCGUGUAGGCGGGGAAGCAAGUCGGAUGUGAAAACCACGGGCUCAACCUUUGGCCUGCAUUUGAAACUGUUUUUCUUGAGUACUGGAGAGGCAGACGGAAUUCCUGGUGUAGCGGUGAAAUGCGUAGAUAUUAGGAGGAACACCAGUGGCGAAGGCGGUCUGCUGGACAGCAACUGACGCUGAGGCGCGAAAGCGUGGGGAGCAAACAGGAUUAGAUACCCCUGUAGUC